UUUUUGUGAGGUCAUAUUUUUCUGGAUGGCCCUGAUGUUCAACAGUGUCUGGGCAUUAAAGAGUUAGGUAUUUAUUAUAGUCUUCACAGUCUAGGCCUGUUUGCACCCAUUUCUUGGCAAGGCUGUUCAGGUAUUUGAAGGGACUUGGGUGUUGUGAUCUAAGUUUUCUGUCACUGUAGCCGUACGUGCAUUAGGGAUCACCUCAAGCCCAGAAACAUUGUGUUUUUUACAGACUCAUAGAAAUACUGCCUUGGUAGUCUUAAUUAACAUCCAGAAGAAUUCUCUGGAUUACCUGGCAGAGCCUCUUGUUCUUACUUUCUGCCAAACAAACAGAGCCUCUCUCUCUCUCUGCCGAGCUGCCUGGAGCUGUGAGAGGAGUAACACAGGCACCUCUCUGACCACCACCUCUGGUGUACGCUGAGUCAAAUCUGAAGCCAGCACAACACUGGGCCUUGUGCAAGGUCUAGUGUAAACACUACCUGGCCUCUGCCUAUGUUUGCUCAGGGCCCUAAGGCUCUGCAAUCAACAGGUGGUGGAGCCUGCCAGGCUGGUGACCUUCCAUUCAGAGUGGCAAGUUGCCCCAGGCCCUGUGUAGGUCCAGAGAUGCCGUAGAGAAGCCAGAGCCUGGAGUUGAAAACCUUAGAAAGCUAACUAGUGGUAUAUUCUACUGCAGACACUCCCCACUGGGCAAGUUCAUCUAUGUGCUGCAACAUGAAACUCCUACCCACCAGGAGGUUGCUUUGAGAGAUAACAAUCAAUUUUUAGAACAAAGGAUAUGUUCUACAGAACUCACACCCACCAGGAGGUUGCCUCAAAUGAUGACAGUCAAAAGCAUGCGUGCUACUCUCUCUCCCCUGGAGAGAUUUUGGUGACCUUUACAACCUAUUUCUGCCCAUGAAGAUGCCAGUUUGACUGCCCAACACAUAAUGCACCAAGGUAGCAUGCAGAUUCCCCAACCUUGCUCACUUCCUCUCCUGACUUUUAACAAUUUCCAUGUUCUGCUUUAAAAGUGAAGUGGUAUCCUUAAAGGCAAGAAAUCUUUACUUCUUCCCCUAAACUAGCUUUGGAAUAAGUCACUUUCUUUGUACAAGACCUAUCUCUUGUUAAUUAGAUGGCACUGAGUGACUAGACCUGCUUUCAGUUCCUAAUCAACUUGUUUUUCGUAAUACGCAAAAACUAUUUACAGUCCCACAUUUGCAAAGACUGUCUGGACAUCGCCAC
Molecule: long non-coding RNA, 1221 nt
Filed under: Papio anubis (olive baboon)
Lineage: Eukaryota; Metazoa; Chordata; Mammalia; Primates; Cercopithecidae
Description: lncRNA (ENSPANG00000042400.1)
Source: RNAcentral